AGCGAACGCUGGCGGCAGGCCUAACACAUGCAAGUCGAACGAACUCUUCGGAGUUAGUGGCGGACGGGUGAGUAACACGUGGGAACGUGCCUUUAGGUUCGGAAUAACUCAGGGAAACUUGUGCUAAUACCGAAUGUGCCCUUCGGGGGAAAGAUUUAUCGCCUUUAGAGCGGCCCGCGUCUGAUUAGCUAGUUGGUGAGGUAAAGGCUCACCAAGGCGACGAUCAGUAGCUGGUCUGAGAGGAUGAUCAGCCACAUUGGGACUGAGACACGGCCCAAACUCCUACGGGAGGCAGCAGUGGGGAAUCUUGCGCAAUGGGCGAAAGCCUGACGCAGCCAUGCCGCGUGAAUGAUGAAUGUCUUAGGAUUGUAAAAUUCUUUCACCGGGGACGAUAAUGACGGUACCCGGAGAAGAAGCCCCGGCUAACUUCGUG
Molecule: ribosomal RNA, 433 nt
Filed under: uncultured bacterium
Lineage: Bacteria
Description: partial 16S ribosomal RNA
Rfam family: Bacterial small subunit ribosomal RNA
Source: RNAcentral